This 327-nucleotide ribosomal RNA is filed under the name uncultured Acidobacteriota bacterium. RNAcentral describes it as "bacterial SSU rRNA". It matches the Rfam family "Bacterial small subunit ribosomal RNA", at positions 28 to 351 of the family's 1533-position model. The record is from RNAcentral. Lineage: Bacteria; Pseudomonadati; Acidobacteriota.
GAUGAACGCUGGCGGCGUGCCUAAUACAUGCAAGUCGGACGAAGGAUGCUUUGCUUGCAUCGCAUCCUUAGUGGCGAACGGGUGAGUAACGCGUUGGUGACCUGCCCCAAAGCGAGGGAUAGCAACUGGAAACGGUUGGUAAUACCUCAUAUGAUCUAGCGGAUUAGAAUCGCUUGAUUAAAGGAGUAAUCCACUUUGGGAGGGGCCUGCGUCCCAUCAGCUAGUUGGUAGGGUAAUGGCCUACCAAGGCGAUGACGGGUAGGGGACCUGAGAGGGUGACCCCCCACACUGGAACUGAAACACGGUCCAGACACCUACGGGUGGCUG